AACGAACGUUAGCGGCGCGCUUAACACAUGCAAGUCGAACGAGAAAGGGCUUCGGCCCCGGUACAGUGGCGCACGGGUGAGUAACACGUAGGUAAUCUAUCCUCGAGUGGUGGAUAACAUCCCGAAAGGGGUGCUAAUACAGCAUAAGACCACACUUUCGAAAGGGAGAGGGGUCAAAGCGGGCCAAUCUAUGGAAGCUCGCGCUUGAGGAUGAGCCUGCGGCGCAUCAGCUAGUUGGUGGGGUAAUGGCCUACCAAGGCAUAGACGCGUAGCUGGUCUGAGAGGAUGAUCAGCCACACUGGAACUGAGACACGGUCCAG
RNAcentral lists this ribosomal RNA (320 nucleotides) under uncultured bacterium. RNAcentral describes it as "bacterial SSU rRNA". It matches the Rfam family "Bacterial small subunit ribosomal RNA", at positions 29 to 334 of the family's 1533-position model. The record is from RNAcentral.